CACCAAGAUCUUUAUCUUUUUUCAUCAGAUCCACCAGAACUUUAACAGCUCCCGGUCGAAAGUCAAUAUCUCCGUCCAAUGUAAGAAUGAUAUUUUUCGAGUGAACUUUUGAAACUUUACAAUUCGAAAUUUUUCACUAAUAAAAGUUUAAUAAUGAACUACCAAGUUAGUUUUUCCCGGCAAAGUCCACACAAGACGACCCCCGUAAGGUGUCGGAUAUUUAGUAGGCGGUGAAGAACGCAUAC
Molecule: long non-coding RNA, 245 nt
Organism: Wasmannia auropunctata (little fire ant)
Lineage: Eukaryota; Metazoa; Arthropoda; Insecta; Hymenoptera; Formicidae
Exons: 3
Source: RefSeq, a predicted model, not a curated record